UACGGGGGGGGCAAGCGUUGUUCGGAAUUACUGGGCGUAAAGGGCUCGUAGGCGGCUCUUUCAGUCGGAUGUGAAAUCCCCAGGCUUAACCUGGGAACGGCAUCCGAUACUGGAGGGCUUGAAUUCGGGAGAGGGAUGCAGAAUUCCAGGUGUAGCGGUGAAAUGCGUAGAUGUCUGGAGGAACACCAGCGGCGAAGGCGGCGCUCUGGGCCGGUACUGACGCUGAGGAGCGAAAGCGUGGGGAGCAAACAGG
RNAcentral lists this ribosomal RNA (253 nucleotides) under uncultured bacterium. Its description in RNAcentral is "partial 16S ribosomal RNA". It matches the Rfam family "Bacterial small subunit ribosomal RNA", at positions 524 to 776 of the family's 1533-position model. The record is from RNAcentral.